RNAcentral lists this long non-coding RNA (453 nucleotides) under Salvia miltiorrhiza (redroot sage). Its description in RNAcentral is "long non-coding RNA (SMIL_LNC014397)". The record is from RNAcentral. Lineage: Eukaryota; Viridiplantae; Streptophyta; Magnoliopsida; Lamiales; Lamiaceae.
GCCACUUGUUGAUUUUGCAUGUAGAGUUUGAACUUGUGACAAUGAGCUAAAUGUUGUACCUCCAAGAACUUGAAAACGAAAAUGAGCUUGUGAGAAUUGAGCCUUUGAUUGUCAUACAUUUACAAUCUCAUUUUGUUCUUGAGUGUAAAUCAUUUGAGCAUGUGUGUUGAUCUCUAGAACUUGCCAUGAGUCAUCUCUUCAAAAUAAAAGUAGAUGUGUUGUUAAUAUUGAAGUGAUUUAAGGCCAUCCUUGUUAGCCACUUGACUUAAAUUGUGUCCAAAUUCUCAUAUGAUCCUAGUUUACCCUCUUUGUGCCUUGUAGCAUUUCUUUGAAUUAACCAAUGAUGGGUAGAACUUAGAUUGUUAGUGGUUACUUUGAUGAAAAUGUUUGGGAAAUGAUUGAAAUUGCUUAUCAAGCUUUGAUUGAGUAGAAAAUCACUAGUCCCCUAUGAGA